This 118-nucleotide ribosomal RNA is filed under the name uncultured bacterium. Its description in RNAcentral is "partial 16S ribosomal RNA". It matches the Rfam family "Bacterial small subunit ribosomal RNA", at positions 1386 to 1500 of the family's 1533-position model. The record is from RNAcentral.
CACACCGCCCGUCGCAUCACGAAAGUGGGUUGUACUAGAAGUCCGCGGGCCGACCCGCAAGGGAGGCAGCGGCCCAAGGUAUGACUCAUGAUUGGGGUGAAGUCGUAAACAAGGUACC